GAUGAACGCUGGCGGCAUGCCUAAUACAUGCAAGUCGAACGAGAGGAAGGAAAGCUUGCUUUCCUGAAUCUAGUGGCGAACGGGUGAGUAACACGUAGGUAACCUGCCCAUGUGCCCGGGAGUAAACUUACUGGAAACGGAUGCUAAAACCGGGUAAGGUAGCAGACAAGCAUUUGUACUGCUAUUAAAGUAGGCCUUGGCCAUGAACAUGGAUGGACCUGCGGUGCAUUAGCUGGUUGGUGAGGUAACGGCCCACCAAGGCGACGAUGCAUAGCCGGCCUGAGAGGGCGGACGGCCACAUUGGGACUGAGACACGGCCCAAACUCCUACGGGAGGCAGCAGUAGGGAA
This 349-nucleotide ribosomal RNA is filed under the name uncultured bacterium. Its description in RNAcentral is "bacterial SSU rRNA". It matches the Rfam family "Bacterial small subunit ribosomal RNA", at positions 28 to 361 of the family's 1533-position model. The record is from RNAcentral.